GGGAAAGAUUUAUCGCUAAAGGAUGGGGCUUUAUUGUAUCAGCUAGUUGGUGGGGUAAUGGCCUACCAAGGCUAUGACGCAUACCUGGUCUGAGAGGAUGAUCAGGCACACUGGAACUGAGACACGGUCCAGACUCCUACGGGAGGCAGCAGUGGGGAAUAUUGCACAAUGGAGGAAACUCUGAUGCAGCAACGCCGCGUGGAGGAUGACGCAUUUCGGUGUGUAAACUCCUUUUAUAGGGGAAGAUAAUGACGGUACCCUAUGAAUAAGCACCGGCUAACUCCGUGCCAGCAGCCGCGGUAAUACGGAGGGUGCAAGCGUUACUCGGAAUCACUGGGCGUAAAGGAUGCGUAGGCUGGAAAUCAAGUCGAGAGUGAAAUCCAACGGCUCAACCGUUGAACUGCUCUCGAAACUGGUUACCUAGAAUAUGGGAGAGGUAGAUGGAAUUAGUGGUGUAGG
RNAcentral lists this ribosomal RNA (459 nucleotides) under uncultured bacterium. RNAcentral's name for it is "bacterial SSU rRNA". It matches the Rfam family "Bacterial small subunit ribosomal RNA", at positions 200 to 679 of the family's 1533-position model. The record is from RNAcentral.